This 497-nucleotide ribosomal RNA is filed under the name uncultured bacterium. Its description in RNAcentral is "partial 16S ribosomal RNA". It matches the Rfam family "Bacterial small subunit ribosomal RNA", at positions 28 to 507 of the family's 1533-position model. The record is from RNAcentral.
GAUGAACGCUGGCGGCGUGCCUAAUACAUGCAAGUCAAGCGAACAGAUGAGGAGCUUGCUCCUCUGACGUUAGCGGCGGACGGGUGAGUAACACGUGGAUAACCUACCUAUAAGAUUGGGAUAACUUCGGGAAACCGGAGCUAAUACCGGAUAAUAUAUUGAACCGCAUGGUUCAAUAGUGAAAGACGGUUUUGCUGUCACUUAUAGAUGGAUCCGCGCCGCAUUAGCUAGUUGGUAAGGUAACGGCUUACCAAGGCAACGAUGCGUAGCCGACCUGAGAGGGUGAUCGGCCACACUGGAACUGAGACACGGUCCAGACUCCUACGGGAGGCAGCAGUAGGGAAUCUUCCGCAAUGGGCGAAAGCCUGACGGAGCAACGCCGCGUGAGUGAUGAAGGUCUUCGGAUCGUAAAACUCUGUUAUUAGGGAAGAACAAAUGUGUAAGUAACUAUGCACGUCUUGACGGUACCUAAUCAGAAAGCCACGGCUAACUACGUG